AACGAACGCUGGCGGCAUGCCUAACACAUGCAAGUCGAACGAGACCUUCGGGUCUAGUGGCGCACGGGUGCGUAACGCGUGGGAAUCUGCCCUUGGGUUCGGAAUAACUUCGGGAAACUGAAGCUAAUACCGGAUGAUGACGUAAGUCCAAAGAUUUAUCGCCCAAGGAUGAGCCCGCGUAGGAUUAGCUAGUUGGUGAGGUAAAGGCUCACCAAGGCGACGAUCCUUAGCUGGUCUGAGAGGAUGAUCAGCCACACUGGGACUGAGACACGGCCCAGACUCCUACGGGAGGCAGCAGUGGGGAAUAUUGGACAAAUGGGGCGAAAGCCUGAUCCAGCAAUGCCGCGUGAGUGAUGAAGGCCUUAGGGUUGUAAAGCUCUUUUACCCGGGAUGAUAAUGACAGUACCGGGAGAAUAAGCUCCGGCUAACUCCGUGCCAGCAGCCGCGGU
Molecule: ribosomal RNA, 449 nt
Filed under: uncultured bacterium
Lineage: Bacteria
Description: bacterial SSU rRNA
Rfam family: Bacterial small subunit ribosomal RNA
Source: RNAcentral